CCUACGGGUGGCAGCAGUGGGGAAUAUUGGGUAAUGGGCGCAAGCCUGACCCAGCAACGCCGCGUGAAGGAAGAAGGCUUUCGGGUUGUAAACUUCUUUUCUCAGGGACGAAGCAAGUGACGGUACCUUAGGAGUACGCCACGGCUAACUACGUGCCAGCAGCCGCGGGAAUACGUAGGUGGCCCGCGUUAUCCGGAUUUACUGGGUGUAAAGGGCGUGUAGGCGGGGACGCAAGUCAGAUGUGAAAACCACGGGCUCAACCUGUGACCUGCAUUUGAAACUGUGUUUCUUGAGUACUGGAGAGGCAGACGGAAUUCCUAGUGUAGCGGUGAAAUGCGUAGAUAUAAGGAGGAACACCAGUGGCGAAGGCGGUCUGCUGGACAGCAACUGACGCUGAGGCGCGAAAGCGUGGGGAGCAAACAGGAUUAGAUACCCGUGUAGUC
RNAcentral lists this ribosomal RNA (443 nucleotides) under uncultured bacterium. RNAcentral describes it as "partial 16S ribosomal RNA". It matches the Rfam family "Bacterial small subunit ribosomal RNA", at positions 338 to 795 of the family's 1533-position model. The record is from RNAcentral.